GGGCCCGUAGUCGAGCCAGGAUCAAGACGUCGAAAGGAAAAGCCGGUGAGCAGGGGUUCGAGUCCCCUCGGGCCCG
This 76-nucleotide transfer RNA is filed under the name Candidatus Bathyarchaeota archaeon. RNAcentral's name for it is "tRNA-Phe". It matches the Rfam family "tRNA". From Rfam's summary of the family: Transfer RNA (tRNA) molecules are approximately 80 nucleotides in length. Their secondary structure includes four short double-helical elements and three loops (D, anti-codon, and T loops). Lineage: Archaea; Thermoproteati; Candidatus Bathyarchaeota. The record is from RNAcentral.